RNAcentral lists this ribosomal RNA (430 nucleotides) under uncultured eukaryote. Its description in RNAcentral is "bacterial SSU rRNA". It matches the Rfam family "Eukaryotic small subunit ribosomal RNA", at positions 592 to 1018 of the family's 1831-position model. The record is from RNAcentral.
CAGUAGCGUAUAUUAAAGUUGUUGCAGUUAAAAAGCUCGUAGUUGGAUUUCUGACAUGACUUCUCUGACCCGCUUUCUUUUGAAGGUGUGAGCUCGGCUGGAGUCUGUCAUCCUUCCGGAGAAUCAUCUACCCUUUAUUGGUGUGGGUGUUGGACCCGGAACUUUUACUUUGAAGAAAUUAGAGUGUUCAAAGCAGGCUUGCGCAUUUGAAUAUUACAGCAUGGAAUAAUAAUCUAGGACUUCUGUUCUAUUUUGUUGGUUUCUAGGACUGAAGUAAUGAUUGAUAGGGAUAGUUGGGGGUGCUAGUAUUAGGGGGCCAGAGGUGAAAUUCUUAUAUUCCCUUAAGACUAACUUAUGCGAAAGCAUUCACCAAGGAUGUCUUCUUUAAUCAAGAACGAAAGUUGGGGGAUCGAAGACGAUUAGAUACCAU